AGAAAACCAGAGAAGAAAGAAAGGAGAGAAAAGAGAAGAAGAAAAUAGAGAAAAAAACAAUGGAUGCUGAAAGGAUCUUUGGUGGUGGAAAGAGAGAGUGGGGUAUUAAAAUUAAGGAAACAAUGCAAUUCAGAAAUAAUUUUUGGAAAGUCAGGUUGUGGAAUAGACACACACAACACUUUUAUUGAUAUUUUUAUAUGUAAAUAUCGGCCUUUUUGUGUCAAUAAAUUUUGUAAUAAAAAUAGAAACUCUAAUGAUUAUUUUGGUA
Non-coding RNA from Camellia sinensis, 268 nucleotides. The record is from RefSeq and is a predicted model, not a curated record. NCBI's taxonomy places the organism in Eukaryota, Viridiplantae, Streptophyta, Magnoliopsida, Ericales, Theaceae.